CUUGAUUUUUGUCGUAGCUUGCUAUGAUAAAAAUUAGUGGCAGACGGGUGAGUAAUGCAUAGGAAUCUACCUAGUAGUAUGGGAUAGCCACUAGAAAUGGUGGGAAUACUGAUAAUCCCUGCGGAA
RNAcentral lists this ribosomal RNA (126 nucleotides) under Anaplasma platys. RNAcentral describes it as "partial 16S ribosomal RNA". The record is from RNAcentral. Lineage: Bacteria; Pseudomonadati; Pseudomonadota; Alphaproteobacteria; Rickettsiales; Anaplasmataceae.